GCACAAUGGGCGCAAGCCUGAUGCAGCCAUUGCCGCGUGUAUGAAGAAGGCCUUCGGGUUGUUAAAGUACUUUCAGCAGUGAGGAAGUGGGUAUGUUAAUAGCAUACUCAUUUGACGUUUAGCUGCAGAAGAAGCACCGGCUAACUCCGUGCCAGCAGCCGCGGUAAUACGGAGGGUGCGAGCGUUAAUCGGAAUUACUGGGCGUAAAGCGCAUGCAGGUGGUUUGUUAAGUCAGAUGUGAAAGCCCGGGGCUCAACCUCGGAAUUGCAUUUGAAACUGGCAAACUAGAGUACUGUAGAGGGGGUAGAAUUUCAGGUGUAGCGGUGAAAUGCGUAGAGAUCUGAAGGAAUACCGGUGGCGAAGGCGGCCCCCUGGACAGAUACUGACACUCAGAUGACGAAAGCGGUGGGGACGACAAACAGGUAUUAGACUACCCGUGGUAG
This 443-nucleotide ribosomal RNA is filed under the name uncultured bacterium. Its description in RNAcentral is "bacterial SSU rRNA". It matches the Rfam family "Bacterial small subunit ribosomal RNA", at positions 366 to 793 of the family's 1533-position model. The record is from RNAcentral.